RNAcentral lists this transfer-messenger RNA (351 nucleotides) under bacterium. RNAcentral's name for it is "G020341755 sp020341755 Standard tmRNA". It matches the Rfam family "transfer-messenger RNA". Rfam says of the family: Bacterial tmRNA, also known as 10Sa RNA or SsrA, is named for its dual tRNA and mRNA-like properties. Its role is to liberate the mRNA from a stalled ribosome. RNAcentral also lists the same sequence under 1 other name. The record is from RNAcentral.
GGGGGCGAUCGGUUUUGACGGGCCGAACGAAAUGAAAGAGGGCAUACCGAGGGUUCUGGCCACCUCGUUAAUCCGACCCGAGAAAAAAACAUCCUGAAAUGGGAUAUGCUCUAGCUGCAUAAUUAAUGCGGCUACGUUUGCCUGAGUGGCCAGCCCAGCUCGGGGCCAGGCGUCAUAUAGGGCUGAAACCCGUUGAUCCCCGCCUUUGGAAUUAACGGGUUAAUCUGAAGAGGCUUUCUCGCGUAGACCUGUCUCUUGGUGACACGUGAGGAGACUCAUAAAGAGACUAAGUAUGUAGUCCUCUUCAUUGAAGCGGUUCGGACGCGGGUUCGAUUCCCGCCGCCUCCACCA